This 371-nucleotide ribosomal RNA is filed under the name uncultured bacterium. RNAcentral's name for it is "bacterial SSU rRNA". It matches the Rfam family "Bacterial small subunit ribosomal RNA", at positions 28 to 417 of the family's 1533-position model. The record is from RNAcentral.
GACGAACGCUGGCGGCGUGCUUAACACAUGCAAGUCGAGCGGUAAGGCCCUUUCGGGGGUACACGAGCGGCGAACGGGUGAGUAACACGUGGGUGACCUGCCCUCAGCUCUGGGAUAAGCCCGGGAAACUGGGUCUAAUACCGGAUAAGCCCUUACGGGGAAAGAUUUAUCGCCGAAAGAUCGGCCCGCGUCUGAUUAGCUAGUUGGUGAGGUAACGGCUCACCAAGGCGACGAUCAGUAGCUGGUCUGAGAGGAUGAUCAGCCACAUUGGGACUGAGACACGGCCAAACUCCUACGGGAGGCAGCAGUGGGGAAUUUUGGACAAUGGGGCGAACCCUGAUCCAGCCAUGCCGCGUGCGGGAAGAAGGCCU